CGUUUUUAUUGAGGGAGUUAUGAAACAUGAAACUGCUGCUGCAAGUUACUCAGCAGGCUGUUGCUAGGUAACCACAAACCAGGCUAUUCCUUGGUAACCAAAGAGUGAGUUAGUUGGCUGAUUCCACCAACCUGGCUUGGCUGAGAGGUUGAGCAGUUCUUUCCUCUGCCUACAUCACCCAGAAUGCUGUGCGGUUCUGGAUCAGAGUUCACUAAAUAUUAUCUAUUGAUUCUGAUCACAUCCGUCCAUGUUCUUCCUGCCUUAUCCCAUUGGAGUCAUUGGGGUGCUGGUCUCCAGCUGUCAACAGGUGAGAGGCGGGGUCACCUGGUCAGGUCACCAGUCCAUCGCCAGGGCAACACAGAGACACACAGGACAAACAACCACACUCACACCUAGGGAGAAUUUAGAGAGACCAGUUAACCUGACAGUCAUGCUUUUGGACUGUGGGAGGAAGAACCCACGCAUGCACGGGGGGAACAUGCUAACUCCAUGCAGAAAGACCCCAGGCCGGGAAUCGAACCCAGGACCUUUUUGCUGCCAGGCAACAGUGUUACCAACUGCUCCACUGUCACAAUAGACAUAAUCACAUGUCUAUUGUGACAUGCAGUAUAUUAUUGUUUUUUUCUCCCCUCCAGGGGGUCUUUUGUCGGCUCUAGUGUCCGUUAAAUGACAGUAGGCUGACAGGAAAGGAGAGGGGGGAAAACAUCUGGGAAUCGAACCCGCGACGGCCGCGUCGAGGACUCAAGGCCUCCAAAUGUGGGUCACGGUAUCCGCUAUGCCACCACGGCACGCCCCAUAUAUUAUUAUUAAAUGAUUGAAAUUAACUAUAGUUGAUAAAAAAUAGUUUUAAUCUGCAGGAGUCAGAAACCAUGUUGACUCCAGAAAACCAAUUAACCUGGUAGUUAGCUAAGUGGGAGUUAGCUAGGUGGGAGUUAGCUAGGUGGUAGUUAGCUAAUGGUAGUUAGCUAAGUGGUAAUUAGCUAGCCCGGUGGUGACCUAAGCUAUGUGGCUAGCUAUGUAGUAGUUAGCUAACUGGUAGUUAGCUAAGUGGGAGUUAGCUAGGUGGUAGUUAGCUAAGUGGUAGUUAGCUAGCUUAGUCAUCCAGCGGCCUGCUGUGUUUUGAAGUUAAAAAAAUACUUAAAGUUGGCAGGAAAUUGUAAAACACCACCAGGUAAUUAUGUGUUAUUGGAAGACAUUAUUAAUAAUACCUAGACACCAACUAUAAAGUCUUAAAA
Long non-coding RNA from Xiphophorus couchianus (Monterrey platyfish), 1235 nucleotides. RefSeq lists it as uncharacterized. The record is from RefSeq and is a predicted model, not a curated record. The transcript has 2 exons. NCBI's taxonomy places the organism in Eukaryota, Metazoa, Chordata, Actinopteri, Cyprinodontiformes, Poeciliidae.